This 206-nucleotide ribosomal RNA is filed under the name uncultured bacterium. RNAcentral's name for it is "partial 16S ribosomal RNA". It matches the Rfam family "Bacterial small subunit ribosomal RNA", at positions 568 to 774 of the family's 1533-position model. The record is from RNAcentral.
UGCGUAGACGGUUAGAUAAGUCGGGUGUGAAAGCCCCGGGCUCAACCUGGGAAUUGCAUUCGAGACUGUUUAGCUAGGGUGCGGAAGAGGGAAGCGGAAUUUCAGGUGUAGCGGUGAAAUGCGUAGAUAUCUGAAGGAACACCAGUGGCGAAAGCGGCUUCCUGGUCCAGCACCGACGUUCAGGCACGAAAGCGUGGGAGCAAACA